UACGUAGGGGGCAAGCGUUGUCCGGAAUCAUUGGGCGUAAAGAGCGUGUAGGCGGCUAGGUAGGUGGGUUGUGAAAACUGGAGGCUCAACCUUCAGACGUCGACCCAAACCCCCUGGCUAGAGUCCGGAAGAGGAGAGUGGAAUUCCUGGUGUAGCGGUGAAAUGCGCAGAUAUCAGGAAGAACACCGGUGGCGAAGGCGACAUCCUGGACCGGUAUUGACGCUGAGGCGCGAAAGCCAGGGGAGCAAACGGG
Molecule: ribosomal RNA, 253 nt
Filed under: uncultured bacterium
Lineage: Bacteria
Description: partial 16S ribosomal RNA
Rfam family: Bacterial small subunit ribosomal RNA
Source: RNAcentral